UGCGCUCUUCUUCUUCCUUACGAUUUCCCGAUCCUCUUCCCCGAUCUCUCCUCUCUGCCUUCUCGGUUCUCUCUCGCGGACGGGCGACGGCGACGGGAGCAAGGCUCCAGCUCCGGCGAUCUUUCCUUGCCGGCAUCAUCUCCGAUUGAGCUUAGGCCGGCUGGCGUUUUCCUUUCCGGGUCGCAGCAUAGCAUCGUGUCUUCUCACGCCUGCCUGCCGAGCCCUAGUUCUUGUUCGGCGCUGUUGGAUUGAGCUCAGGUCUUCCCCGAGCCUUUCCUUCCCCGAUCCUUCGUCUCUGUUUUACCGAUCCUUUCUUCCCCGAUUCGAUCGCCGGCUUGAAGAUGCCCUAGGGUUUCGAAGGUCACGGAUUUGGAGAGGUUGGAAUCAGGGAGGUGUUGUUGGAUUAGGGGAAGGAAUCGGAUCAGACUCGUGCUAGGUUUUCCCUUGAUCGGAUCAGUGGACCUCCACCUCCUUGCUGUUGAUUGAGGUCUCAAAUUGAAGGUUAGGUACUGUGGGGUUUUGGUUGGUGGUCAGUAAUUGCAUCCGGGCAGAAAGGUAGAUUCUAGCAGCUCAUCCGGCAGGACCUCUUUCCGGCAGCCCUCUUGUUGACUGAGCUUGAGGAUUUUGAUUCGAGACAGACGUCUUGACGUUGACUUCGGAUUUGAGAUUGUACCUUCUAUUUGAGG
Long non-coding RNA from Zingiber officinale, 686 nucleotides. RefSeq lists it as uncharacterized. The transcript has 5 exons. The record is from RefSeq and is a predicted model, not a curated record. NCBI's taxonomy places the organism in Eukaryota, Viridiplantae, Streptophyta, Magnoliopsida, Zingiberales, Zingiberaceae.